GAUGAAGAACGUAGUGAAAUGCGAUAAGUAAUGUGAAUUGCAGAAUUCAGUGAAUCAUCGAAUCUUUGAACGCACAUUGCGCCCUCUGGUAUUCCGGGGGGCAUGCCUGUUCGAGCGUCAUUAUAACCACUCAAGCUCUCGCUUGGUAUUGGGGUUCGCGGUUCCGCGGCCCCUAAAAUCAGUGGCGGUGCCUGUCGGCUCUACGCGUAGUAAUACUCCUCGCGAUUGAGUCCGGUAGGUCUACUUGCCAGCAACCCCCAAUCUUUACAGGUUGACCUCGGAUCAGGUAGGGAUACCCGCUGAACUUAAGCAUAUCAAUAAGCGGAGGA
RNAcentral lists this unclassified non-coding RNA (329 nucleotides) under soil metagenome. RNAcentral's name for it is "partial contains 5.8S ribosomal RNA, internal transcribed spacer 2, and large subunit ribosomal RNA". The stretch from base 1 to 120 matches the Rfam family "5.8S ribosomal RNA", at positions 35 to 154 of the family's 154-position model. The record is from RNAcentral.